This 72-nucleotide transfer RNA is filed under the name Ovis aries (sheep). It matches the Rfam family "tRNA". Rfam says of the family: Transfer RNA (tRNA) molecules are approximately 80 nucleotides in length. Their secondary structure includes four short double-helical elements and three loops (D, anti-codon, and T loops). Further hydrogen bonds mediate the characteristic L-shaped molecular structure. tRNAs have two regions of fundamental functional importance: the anti-codon, which is responsible for specific mRNA codon recognition, and the 3' end, to which the tRNAs corresponding amino acid is attached (by aminoacyl-tRNA synthetases). tRNAs cope with the degeneracy of the genetic code in two manners: having more than one tRNA (with a specific anti-codon) for a particular amino acid; and 'wobble' base-pairing, i.e. permitting non-standard base-pairing at the 3rd anti-codon position. The record is from Rfam by way of RNAcentral. Lineage: Eukaryota; Metazoa; Chordata; Mammalia; Artiodactyla; Bovidae.
UCCCAGGUGGCUCACAUGGUAAAGUGUCUGCCCGCAAAGUAGGAGACCUGGGUUCGAUCCCUGGAUUGGGAA